RNAcentral lists this ribosomal RNA (526 nucleotides) under Fusarium avenaceum. RNAcentral's name for it is "eukaryotic LSU rRNA". The stretch from base 142 to 295 matches the Rfam family "5.8S ribosomal RNA". The record is from RNAcentral. Lineage: Eukaryota; Fungi; Ascomycota; Sordariomycetes; Hypocreales; Nectriaceae.
AACUCCCAAACCCCUGUGAACAUACCUUAAUGUUGCCUCGGCGGAUCAGCCCGCGCCCCGUAAAACGGGACGGCCCGCCAGAGGACCCAAACUCUAAUGUUUCUUAUUGUAACUUCUGAGUAAAACAAACAAAUAAAUCAAAACUUUCAACAACGGAUCUCUUGGUUCUGGCAUCGAUGAAGAACGCAGCAAAAUGCGAUAAGUAAUGUGAAUUGCAGAAUUCAGUGAAUCAUCGAAUCUUUGAACGCACAUUGCGCCCGCUGGUAUUCCGGCGGGCAUGCCUGUUCGAGCGUCAUUUCAACCCUCAAGCCCUCGGGUUUGGUGUUGGGGAUCGGCUCUGCCUUCUGGCGGUGCCGCCCCCGAAAUACAUUGGCGGUCUCGCUGCAGCCUCCAUUGCGUAGUAGCUAACACCUCGCAACUGGAACGCGGCGCGGCCAUGCCGUAAAACCCCAACUUCUGAAUGUUGACCUCGGAUCAGGUAGGAAUACCCGCUGAACUUAAGCAUAUCAAUAAGCCGGAGGAAAAG